This 420-nucleotide ribosomal RNA is filed under the name uncultured bacterium. RNAcentral's name for it is "bacterial SSU rRNA". It matches the Rfam family "Bacterial small subunit ribosomal RNA", at positions 355 to 776 of the family's 1533-position model. The record is from RNAcentral.
UAAGGAAUAUUGCUCAAUGGGAGAAAUCCUGAAGCAGCAACGCCGCGUGAGGGAUGAAGGGCUUUUGCUUGUAAACCUCUGUAGUGAGAGAAAAAACUCCAAUCUUUGGAGCAUGAUGGUAUCUCAAAAGUAAGCCCCGGCUAACUACGUGCCAGCAGCCGCGGUAAUACGUAGGGGGCAAACGUUGUCCGGAUUUACUGGGUGUAAAGGGUGCUCAGGCGGUUUUGUAAGUCAGAAGUGAAAUCCUAGGGCUUAACUCUGGAACUGCUUUUGAUACUGCAAGGCUUGAAUAUGGAAGAGGAGGGCGGAAUUUCUGGUGUAGCAGUGAAAUGCGUAGAUAUCAGAAAGAACACCAGUGGCGAAGGCGGCCCUCUGGUCCAUUAUUGACGCUAAAGCACGAAAGCGUGGGGAGCAAACAGG